This 510-nucleotide ribosomal RNA is filed under the name uncultured bacterium. RNAcentral's name for it is "partial 16S ribosomal RNA". It matches the Rfam family "Bacterial small subunit ribosomal RNA", at positions 28 to 507 of the family's 1533-position model. The record is from RNAcentral.
GACGAACGCUGGCGGCGUGCUUAACACAUGCAAGUCGAACGAAGAGCGAUGGAAGCUUGCUUCUAUCAAUCUUAGUGGCGAACGGGUGAGUAACGCGUAAUCAACCUGCCCUUCAGAGGGGGACAACAGUUGGAAACGACUGCUAAUACCGCAUACGAUCUGACCUCGGCAUCGAGGAUAGAUGAAAGGUGGCCUCUAUUUAUAAGCUAUCACUGAAGGAGGGGACUGCGUCUGAUUAGCUAGUUGGAGGGGUAACGGCCCACCAAGGCGAUGAUCAGUAGCCGGUCUGAGAGGAUGAACGGCCUCAUUGGGACUGAGACACGGCCCAGACUCCUACGGGAGGCAGCAGUGGGGAAUCUUCCGCAAUGGACGAAAGUCUGACGGAGCAACGCCGCGUGAGUGAUGACGGCCUUCGGGUUGUAAAGCUCUGUUAAUCGGGACGAAAGGCCUUCUUGCGAAUAGUUAGAAGGAUUGACGGUACCGGAAUAGAAAGCCACGGCUAACUACGUG